Molecule: ribosomal RNA, 523 nt
Filed under: uncultured bacterium
Lineage: Bacteria
Description: bacterial SSU rRNA
Rfam family: Bacterial small subunit ribosomal RNA
Source: RNAcentral
AAACUGGUGCUAAUACCGGAUACACUUUUCUGCUGCGGGGCAGAAGAGGAAAGGUGGCCUCUUGGUCAAAGCUACCGUAUAGGGAUGAGCCUGCGUACCAUUAGCUAGUAGGUGGGGUAACGGCCCACCUAGGCCACGAUGGUUAGCGGGUCUGAGAGGAUGAUCCGCCACACUGGAACUGGAACACGGACCAGACUCCUACGGGAGGCAGCAGUGAGGAAUAUUGCGCAAUGGGGGAAACCCUGACGCAGCGACGCCGCGUGAGUGAGGAAGGUCUUCGGAUCGUAAAGCUCUGUCAGAAGGGAAGAAGUGUUAGAUGGUUAAUACCCAUGUAAUUUGACGGUACCUUCAGAGGAAGCACCGGCUAACUCCGUGCCAGCAGCCGCGGUAAUACGGAGGGUGCGAGCGUUGUUCGGAAUUACUGGGCGUAAAGGGCGCGUAGGCGGCUGGAUAANUCAGAUGUGAAAGUCCAUGGGCUCACUGUGGAAAGUGCAUUUGAAACUGUCCGGCUUGAGUAUCCGGA